GACGAACGCUGGCGGCGUGCUUAACACAUGCAAGUCGAACGGUGAAGGGACCGGUUUUUGCUGGUUCUGGAUGAGUGGCGAACGGGUGAGUAACACGUGAGUAACCUGCCCCCUUCUUCUGGAUAACCGCAUGAAAGUGUGGCUAAUACGGGAUAUUCUGCGCCUGCUGCAUGGUGGGUGUGGGAAAGAUAUUGUUUCGGUGGGGGAUGGGCUCGCGGCCUAUCAGCUUGUUGGUGGGGUGAUGGCCUACCAAGGCGGUGACGGGUAGCCGGCCUGAGAGGGUGGACGGUCACACGGGGACUGAGACACGGCCCAGACUCCGACGGGAGGCAGCAGUGGGGAAUAUUGCACAAUGGGCGCAAGCCUGAUGCAGCGACGCCGCGUGAGGGAUGGAGGCCUUCGGGUUGUAAACCUCUUUCGCCAGUGAAGCAGGCCUGUCCCUUUUGUGGGUGGGUUGACGGUAGCUGGAUAAGAAGCGCCGGCUAACUACGUG
Molecule: ribosomal RNA, 493 nt
Filed under: uncultured bacterium
Lineage: Bacteria
Description: partial 16S ribosomal RNA
Rfam family: Bacterial small subunit ribosomal RNA
Source: RNAcentral